Molecule: transfer RNA, 87 nt
Filed under: bacterium
Lineage: Bacteria
Also listed under: 2 other names
Description: tRNA-Leu
Rfam family: tRNA
About the family: Transfer RNA (tRNA) molecules are approximately 80 nucleotides in length.
Source: RNAcentral
GCGGAAGUGGCGGAAUUGGUAGACGCACCAGCUUGAGGGGCUGGCGGUAGCAAUAUCGUGCUGGUUCGAGUCCAGUCUUCCGCACCA